UGUCAUUACUUAAGUUGAACCAUUCAGCGAUGAUUCUUGUUCACAUGACGAGAACAAGCGCAGAUCAUCUUGUUUGAGGUUUUGGCUUCAAACAUGAAAAACUUAAAGCCAGUUAACACAGUAAAAGCCUCUCAAUCUGCAUCCUUUACUGUAAGAUGCCUGAUCCAUGAAACUCAGAAAGCUUGGAUGAGACGACAGAUUUAUUUCAGUACUGAAACCUGUCUGCUGUCACGGUUGGGCGGUGAUGCCCGUCUGUUGCCGUGGUUACAGGAUUCAGAGAGGAAAGUGAAACUUGAAGCCACCUCUGCUGAAUCUAUAAGAAUCUCUCUCUCUGCGGUGGGUCGGCAUAUUUUAAAAUUACCGGAAAGUCAAAUUUAACAUUAAGGGUCAUUGUCUUCAUCCGUCACUUGUGUUCAAUCCCGGACGCACCACCAGAGGGCACCGAUGGACCAACACGCUGCUCUGCUCCCCAACAGGGGACGACAACAGCGUGUGUUGUAGCCAUGACGAUGCAUGUUUCGUGUGUGUGUGUGUGUGUGUGUGUGUUACAAUAAAUAUACAUUUAUGAUCAUUUUGACUUUUUUGGAUAUUGGAAAUGUGUAAAGAAACACAAAAAUAUUAAUAUACAUUUUUGUAAAAUGUUCUUUAGUAAUCAUUUAUUUGUUUCUUAUUAAUUAAAUAUCACUCACAGAUGUUAAACAUUCAUCAAAUAACCGGUUGAAUACACAUUUACUUUGUGUUGAUCAGUUUGAUGGGUCGAGGUCUUGUACACACUGAAUGUGUGUAGUGUGUUUGUGUGUCUGUCACAGAGUCGUGUGUCUCUACUCUCACAGGUUUUUGUACGGCGGUUCGAUGCCUUCGUGUCACUGUGGUGGACGUUUGGUGGAGGAACCAGACUGAGCGUUGGAAGUGAUGUCCGGCCCACCCUGACGGUGCUGCCCCCCUCCAGGGAGGAGCUGCAGCAGGGGACGGCCACGCUGGUGUGCCUGGGCCGACAAGGGCUUCCC
Molecule: long non-coding RNA, 1007 nt
Organism: Gasterosteus aculeatus aculeatus (three-spined stickleback)
Lineage: Eukaryota; Metazoa; Chordata; Actinopteri; Perciformes; Gasterosteidae
Source: Ensembl